RNAcentral lists this ribosomal RNA (242 nucleotides) under uncultured bacterium. Its description in RNAcentral is "partial 16S ribosomal RNA". It matches the Rfam family "Bacterial small subunit ribosomal RNA", at positions 89 to 334 of the family's 1533-position model. The record is from RNAcentral.
GAUUCAGCGGCGGACGGGUGAGUAAUGCUUAGGAAUCUGCCUAUUAGUGGGGGACAACAGUUGGAAACGGCUGCUAAUACCGCAUACGCCCUACGGGGGAAAGGAGGGGAUCUUCGGACCUUUCGCUAAUAGAUGAGCCUAAGUCAGAUUAGCUAGUUGGUGGGGUAAAGGCCUACCAAGGCGACGAUCUGUAGCGGGUCUGAGAGGAUGAUCCGCCACACUGGGACUGAGACACGGCCCAG